UUAAGCGACUAAGCGUACACGGUGGAUGCCCUGGCAGUCAGAGGCGAUGAAGGACGUGCUAAUCUGCGAUAAGCGUCGGUAAGGUGAUAUGAACCGUUAUAACCGGCGAUUUCCGAAUGGGGAAACCCAGUGUGUUUCGACACACUAUCAUUAACUGAAUCCAUAGGUUAAUGAGGCGAACCGGGGGAACUGAAACAUCUAAGUACCCCGAGGAAAAGAAAUCAACCGAGAUUCCCCCAGUAGCGGCGAGCGAACGGGGAGCAGCCCAGAGCCUGAAUCAGUGUGUGUGUUAGUGGAAGCGUCUGGAAAGGCGCGCGAUACAGGGUGACAGCCCCGUACACAAAAAUGCACAUGCUGUGAGCUCGAUGAGUAGGGCGGGACACGUGGUAUCCUGUCUGAAUAUGGGGGGACCAUCCUCCAAGGCUAAAUACUCCUGACUGACCGAUAGUGAACCAGUACCGUGAGGGAAAGGCGAAAAGAACCCCGGCGAGGGGAGUGAAAAAGAACCUGAAACCGUGUACGUACAAGCAGUGGGAGCACGCUUAGGCGUGUGACUGCGUACCUUUUGUAUAAUGGGUCAGCGACUUAUAUUCUGUAGCAAGGUUAACCGAAUAGGGGAGCCGAAGGGAAACCGAGUCUUAACUGGGCGUUAAGUUGCAGGGUAUAGACCCGAAACCCGGUGAUCUAGCCAUGGGCAGGUUGAAGGUUGGGUAACACUAACUGGAGGACCGAACCGACUAAUGUUGAAAAAUUAGCGGAUGACUUGUGGCUGGGGGUGAAAGGCCAAUCAAACCGGGAGAUAGCUGGUUCUCCCCGAAAGCUAUUUAGGUAGCGCCUCGUGAAUUCAUCUCCGGGGGUAGAGCACUGUUUCGGCAAGGGGGUCAUCCCGACUUACCAACCCGAUGCAAACUGCGAAUACCGGAGAAUGUUAUCACGGGAGACACACGGCGGGUGCUAACGUCCGUCGUGAAGAGGGAAACAACCCAGACCGCCAGCUAAGGUCCCAAAGUCAUGGUUAAGUGGGAAACGAUGUGGGAAGGCCCAGACAGCCAGGAUGUUGGCUUAGAAGCAGCCAUCAUUUAAAGAAAGCGUAAUAGCUCACUGGUCGAGUCGGCCUGCGCGGAAGAUGUAACGGGGCUAAACCAUGCACCGAAGCUGCGGCAGCGACACUAUGUGUUGUUGGGUAGGGGAGCGUUCUGUAAGCCUGUGAAGGUGUGCUGUGAGGCAUGCUGGAGGUAUCAGAAGUGCGAAUGCUGACAUAAGUAACGAUAAAGCGGGUGAAAAGCCCGCUCGCCGGAAGACCAAGGGUUCCUGUCCAACGUUAAUCGGGGCAGGGUGAGUCGACCCCUAAGGCGAGGCCGAAAGGCGUAGUCGAUGGGAAACAGGUUAAUAUUCCUGUACUUGGUGUUACUGCGAAGGGGGGACGGAGAAGGCUAUGUUGGCCGGGCGACGGUUGUCCCGGUUUAAGCGUGUAGGCUGGUUUUCCAGGCAAAUCCGGAAAAUCAAGGCUGAGGCGUGAUGACGAGGCACUACGGUGCUGAAGCAACAAAUGCCCUGCUUCCAGGAAAAGCCUCUAAGCAUCAGGUAACAUCAAAUCGUACCCCAAACCGACACAGGUGGUCAGGUAGAGAAUACCAAGGCGCUUGAGAGAACUCGGGUGAAGGAACUAGGCAAAAUGGUGCCGUAACUUCGGGAGAAGGCACGCUGAUAUGUAGGUGAGGUCCCUCGCGGAUGGAGCUGAAAUCAGUCGAAGAUACCAGCUGGCUGCAACUGUUUAUUAAAAACACAGCACUGUGCAAACACGAAAGUGGACGUAUACGGUGUGACGCCUGCCCGGUGCCGGAAGGUUAAUUGAUGGGGUUAGCGCAAGCGAAGCUCUUGAUCGAAGCCCCGGUAAACGGCGGCCGUAACUAUAACGGUCCUAAGGUAGCGAAAUUCCUUGUCGGGUAAGUUCCGACCUGCACGAAUGGCGUAAUGAUGGCCAGGCUGUCUCCACCCGAGACUCAGUGAAAUUGAACUCGCUGUGAAGAUGCAGUGUACCCGCGGCAAGACGGAAAGACCCCGUGAACCUUUACUAUAGCUUGACACUGAACAUUGAGCCUUGAUGUGUAGGAUAGGUGGGAGGCUUAGAAGUGUGGACGCCAGUCUGCAUGGAGCCGACCUUGAAAUACCACCCUUUAAUGUUUGAUGUUCUAACGUUGACCCGUAAUCCGGGUUGCGGACAGUGUCUGGUGGGUAGUUUGACUGGGGCGGUCUCCUCUUAAAGAGUAACGGAGGAGCACGAAGGUUGGCUAAUCCUGGUCGGACAUCAGGAGGUUAGUGCAAUGGCAUAAGCCAGCUUGACUGCGAGCGUGACGGCGCGAGCAGGUGCGAAAGCAGGUCAUAGUGAUCCGGUGGUUCUGAAUGGAAGGGCCAUCGCUCAACGGAUAAAAGGUACUCCGGGGAUAACAGGCUGAUACCGCCCAAGAGUUCAUAUCGACGGCGGUGUUUGGCACCUCGAUGUCGGCUCAUCACAUCCUGGGGCUGAAGUAGGUCCCAAGGGUAUGGCUGUUCGCCAUUUAAAGUGGUACGCGAGCUGGGUUUAGAACGUCGUGAGACAGUUCGGUCCCUAUCUGCCGUGGGCGCUGGAGAACUGAGGGGGGCUGCUCCUAGUACGAGAGGACCGGAGUGGACGCAUCACUGGUGUUCGGGUUGUCAUGCCAAUGGCACUGCCCGGUAGCUAAAUGCGGAAGAGAUAAGUGCUGAAAGCAUCUAAGCACGAAACUUGCCCCGAGAUGAGUUCUCCCUGACUCCUUGAGAGUCCUGAAGGAACGUUGAAGACGACGACGUUGAUAGGCCGGGUGUGUAAGCGCAGCGAUGCGUUGAGCUAACCGGUACUAAUGAACCGUGAGGCUUAACCUU
RNAcentral lists this ribosomal RNA (2901 nucleotides) under Escherichia coli KTE111. RNAcentral describes it as "bacterial LSU rRNA". It matches the Rfam family "Bacterial large subunit ribosomal RNA". Lineage: Bacteria; Pseudomonadati; Pseudomonadota; Gammaproteobacteria; Enterobacterales; Enterobacteriaceae. The record is from RNAcentral.